This is a long non-coding RNA of Fukomys damarensis (Damara mole-rat), 1734 nucleotides long. The record is from Ensembl. Lineage: Eukaryota; Metazoa; Chordata; Mammalia; Rodentia; Bathyergidae.
GGAGAGGGUUUCGGGAGCCCCAAGGACUGGAUCAGAGUGGAAGCUAAAGAUCUGGUCUGCAGGUGCUCAGCAGGCAGUGACCAGCACUGCACAGAUGCCACAGGCCCAAGUCAGCCCAAAACACUUGAAAACAGGCAGAACUCAGCUACUCCUUCAUUCUCUGUACCCCACAUCUCCAGGGGGGCUUGGGAAGGGCAGUGCUGGAGGUGGCCAGACCUUGCUGUGAUUCUCCAAGACCAAAUCAGCCCAGCUGCCCUCCCAACACCCUGUGUAAAGAGUUGUGCAUCUGUGAAACCUCGCCAGUACUUCCCGCAGUCCCAGCCACGUGUCUUCCGCUCCGUGCCGGGCGAUGCUGGGUCUCAGAAAUGGACCAGCCCCAAGCCUUGCCCUCAGAGAGGGCAAGCAGGCCGAAGGGGUCGCUGCCCUCACAGAAAGAGGACUGAGCAGGAGGCCCAGAGGAGGGAGGGCCAAAUCUGCUGCAGGAAGUCACACAAGCCACUGCCGAUGGACCUGAGGAAACCCUGUGGCUCCAGGAAAACAAAGUGGACCGGAGCCCAUGAAGCCUGUGGAGUCUGCCCCACACCUGGAGUCCCCAUUAACCCUGGAAUUAGCACAGUCCACAAAGCCCUUGGAGCCCCAGAAACCCUGGAGUCCACAGCAAACCUGAAGCGCUCAGUCCCCAAACCCUUCACAGCCCCUAUUUGUCGCUCGCACUGGUUCUCCAGUGGUGAGCGUUUAAACUUGGUCCUGACUACAACCCUUGAAGGCAAAUCCUAUGACUGGUGUUUGGGUAGCCGGAAGGAACAUGCCCCGGCCGGAAAUGGCGUCACAGCCAGGAAAAAUGCGCGUGCAGCUGUAAAACGGGCCGUUCUCAAAUAGCUUUUGAGCCCCUACCGUGUGGCCAAUACCUGAGGGACACAGACAAGAACACUGAAGCCGCCAUAUUUGGUCAGAUUCCAGCUUCCGUGCUUAGUGGCUCUACCCCCUGUCACCCUCUUUGAACUUCGCUGUCCUCACGACACACACCUGGAUGGAACGGGAGCAGGACGUGGCACCCACAGACUCAGGUAGAGAAGAGGCCCUGCAGUGGCCCUGGAUGCCAAGAUAAGGCCCUGGAACUGCAGCUCCUAGGGCCUUGUCCCUGACUCUCUUAUAAUGUGAGCUCCGUGGGAACGGGGACCUUAUCUGUCUUACUUUGUACUUCUAUCACCAGCACCUUGAAUUAUGCCUAAGAUGUAAGAAGUUUUCAAAAAUGUUCAUCAAAUAACUGAAUGGUUGGGUAAGGCGCUGUUACAUGAUUUGAAGCAGAAUCAUGGUUUUCCUCCUUCCCUGCCCGCCCAGUCUCCUCUCCCCUCCCCUCCCCUCUUCUCUCUGUAACCCUGCAAGACUGAUGCACCUGUGGGGUGGGGCUUGGCGGGGCGUCCCUGUGACUGCCAGCAGGUACCCAUGACAUCCAGGGCCUGGGAGGCUGGGAGGAUCCACAGAACAACCAGGCCCACUGACGAGUUAGCCUUCGUGUUGCUCUCCCUCCAUUUAGAAGAGACAAAAUGGCGGGGGAAGAGUCUGGAUAAGAGAUUAUUGCAGUAUUUUUUCACCAAGCUAAAGUCGGAGAUCUGGAUAAGAGUAUUGCAGUAUUUUUUCACCAAGCUAAAGUCGGAGACACAGGAAUGAGAAUGGUAUCCUGGCAUUAGAAGGGCUACAGUUACGUACUGUCCCCUCAGAAUGGAUGACAAC